RNAcentral lists this ribosomal RNA (468 nucleotides) under uncultured bacterium. RNAcentral's name for it is "partial 16S ribosomal RNA". It matches the Rfam family "Bacterial small subunit ribosomal RNA", at positions 28 to 507 of the family's 1533-position model. The record is from RNAcentral.
GACGAACGCUGGCGGCGUGCUUAACACAUACAAGUCGAACGGAAAGGCCCUGCUUUUGUGGGGUGCUCGAGUGGCGAACGGGUGAGUAACACGUGAGUAACCUGCCCUUGACUUUGGGAUAACUUCAGGAAACUGGGGCUAAUACCGGAUAGGAGCUCCUGCUGCAUGGUGGGGGUUGGAAAGUUUCGGCGGUUGGGGAUGGACUCGCGGCUUAUUAGCUUGUUGGUGGGGUAGUGGCUUACCAAGGCUUUGACGGGUAGCCGGCCUGAGAGGGUGACCGGCCACAUUGGGACUGAGAUACGGCCCAGACUCCUACGGGAGGCAGCAGUGGGGAAUAUUGCACAAUGGGCGGAAGCCUGAUGCAGCAACGCCGCGUGCGGGAUGACGGCCUUCGGGUUGUAAACCGCUUUCGCCUGUGACGAAGCGUGAGUGACGGUAAUGGGUAAAGAAGCACCGGCUAACUACGUG